RNAcentral lists this ribosomal RNA (253 nucleotides) under uncultured bacterium. RNAcentral describes it as "partial 16S ribosomal RNA". It matches the Rfam family "Bacterial small subunit ribosomal RNA", at positions 524 to 776 of the family's 1533-position model. The record is from RNAcentral.
UACAGAGGUCUCAAGCGUUGUUCGGAUUCAUUGGGCGUAAAGGGCGCGUAGGCUGCGGGGCAAGUCGGGUGUGAAAUCUCAGAGCUCAACUCUGAAACUGCACUCGAUACUGCUUUGCUUGAGGACUGGAGAGGAGAUUGGAAUUCACGGUUUAGCAGUGAAAUGCGUAGAUAUCGUGAGGAAGACCAGUGGCGAAGGCGGAUCUCUGGACAGUUCCUGACGCUGAGGCGCGAAGGCCAGGGGAGCAAACGGG